RNAcentral lists this transfer RNA (74 nucleotides) under Candidatus Berkelbacteria bacterium. Its description in RNAcentral is "tRNA-Gly". It matches the Rfam family "tRNA". From Rfam's summary of the family: Transfer RNA (tRNA) molecules are approximately 80 nucleotides in length. Their secondary structure includes four short double-helical elements and three loops (D, anti-codon, and T loops). The record is from RNAcentral. Lineage: Bacteria; Candidatus Berkelbacteria.
GCGGGUAUAGUAUAGUGGUAUUAUAUCUCCCUUCCAAGGAGAAGAGACGGGUUCGAUUCCCGUUACCCGCUCCA